UAAAGAGGGUGCAAGAGAUGUUAGGAAUUAUUGGGCGUAAAGCGUAUGUAGGUGGUUUGCUAAGUCUGGUGUGAAAGCCUGGGGCUCAACCCCAGCAGUGCACUGGAUACUGGCAGGCUAGAGGACGGGAGAGGAUGGUGGAAUUCCUGGUGUAGGGGUGAAAUCCGUAGAUAUCAGGAGGAAUACCGGUGGCGAAGGCGGCCAUCUGGCCCGUUUCUGACACUCAGAUGCGAUAGCGUUGGGAGCAAACAGG
This 253-nucleotide ribosomal RNA is filed under the name uncultured bacterium. RNAcentral's name for it is "partial 16S ribosomal RNA". It matches the Rfam family "Bacterial small subunit ribosomal RNA", at positions 524 to 776 of the family's 1533-position model. The record is from RNAcentral.